GACCGGAUGUUGUUUACGACCCAGCAGGUGAAUAACUCAUAGUUAGUGAGCUCUAACGCGCAACAAUUCACAAGUAGGUGUUUAUUUUAGACACUUAAAAAAUGUUUAGACGUUUAGACAACUACGGUUAACUCAGUGAAGUUUUCUCGAAUGAAAAAUCAUACAAACUGGAGCUAACAUCCGGGGGUCUGGUAUGCAAGUGAUUCAUAAAUGGACUUGUUUUCAUCGAAAAUGGCCUCACUGACUUUUUGGAGCGACGCACGCAGCUUUGGAGUGUCGUGCACGUGACGACCAUGGCUUCCCGCUGCAGCCUGGCAUACAUCGGAGGAGGUAAGGCCCUAAGAGUAAACAGUAGUAAACAACAGUAGCAGUAGGGGAGUGGGCCUCCCUGCGGUGUUGAUUAUUGGAGGGCUGUAAACAGUAAACCCCUACUAGUAGGCCAGGAGCUCGCCAAGCGGGAACGGCUGCUGCUGGCGGCCCGCAGCUAGGCCAACAACAUCUGGACAUCAGCUCAGCUCCUCACUAUGAUGGCGAUGGAGGCUAUAACAACAUUAGCUACACCUGCACCAACUCAUUAAUUAUGCCUUUACUGAGAUAAUAAUGCUCACUUUUAAUUAUUUUAACGAUGUUUAUUGUUGUGCAACUAUAUUACAGUCCCUA
Nerophis ophidion (straightnose pipefish) is the source of this 660-nucleotide long non-coding RNA. RefSeq lists it as uncharacterized. The transcript has 3 exons. Lineage: Eukaryota; Metazoa; Chordata; Actinopteri; Syngnathiformes; Syngnathidae. The record is from RefSeq and is a predicted model, not a curated record.